AUAUAUUUUUCAGUUAAAUAAUCUGGUGUUUGUUGUUAAUCUUGUACGGUAUUAGCUGGCCAUGAUUUUUUUCUUCCUAUGAAGUUAAGAUGUUUGUGUUGUUUAUUGCAUCAACAAAAUGAUUUAGUUUCUUCAAAAUAUUCUGUUGCUUCUACCCUCCUUCCUCCUUCCUCCUUAUUCUGAUAAUUCUUAUUAAAUACUCUGCAGUAGAGGUACAAAUUUCAACAUCCACAGCCAAAGAGACCAAAGUCACUGAGAAUAUAUGAAUGUCAUACUGGAAUAAGUAGUUCGGAUGAAUCUGAUGAAAUGUUAAGCUGAGGUUUCAAGGAUCAAUUUAUGAUGACUAUAUAUAUCUUCCACCAGAGCUUGAGGCCAGGUUAUCACUAU
Molecule: long non-coding RNA, 387 nt
Organism: Ipomoea nil (Japanese morning glory)
Lineage: Eukaryota; Viridiplantae; Streptophyta; Magnoliopsida; Solanales; Convolvulaceae
Exons: 2
Source: RefSeq, a predicted model, not a curated record